Molecule: ribosomal RNA, 253 nt
Filed under: uncultured bacterium
Lineage: Bacteria
Description: partial 16S ribosomal RNA
Rfam family: Bacterial small subunit ribosomal RNA
Source: RNAcentral
UACGUAGGGGGCGAGCGUUGUCCGGAAUCAUUGGGCUUAAAGCGCGUGUAGGCGGCCCGGUAAGUCCGCUGUGAAAGUCCAGGGCUCAACCCUGGGAUGCCGGUGGAUACUGUCGGGCUCGAGUCCGGAAGAGGCGAGUGGAAUUCCUGGUGUAGCGGUGAAAUGCGCAGAUAUCAGGAGGAACACCAAUGGCGAAGGCAGCUCGCUGGGACGUGACUGACGCUGAGACGCGAAAGCGUGGGGAGCGAACAGG